UUGAAAUUUUGGUUGAAAUUGGAACACAUGUUUAGCGUAGUAAUUCUGCUUGAGGGUGAAUAGGAUGCAUGAUAGAUUAUUUUCGGACCACCUCCCGUUUUUCUUGAAACGAGUUUAGAAUGGAUUUAUGCACUUGGUUAUUCGAUCUUGAUGUUUGCCGACUUGUGUACAAUUAAUUCCCCUUUCGAGUCGCUCUAGUGGUUUAAAGUCAUAUUUGACUAGAUGGUCCAAAUAAGGUGCAAAAGAGGCCAAUGUGCCCAAAUUGUCAUGGGGGUUCGGUUGCGAUUCAACACACUAGCGACUUUAGGUCUGCCGCCUGUAAGCUAGUCCCUUCAGGCUUCUUUUCUCACCUCUUCCUAGUUGUGGGUUGGGGUUUUUCAGGUAAACUCGGUCUAUUUGGAUGAGAGCCUUAGCCCGAUCAGGAUUGCAAUUACCCCCAUUUGGAAAGAUACCCUCUAAACUAUACUUAAAAUUGUGAAAAGUGAGCUUGCAAUUAAUUGAGUAACUCAAUUGGCUCACAUGUGUUAUAAUAUGUCAUGUAUAGUUAAAUUGUAAAAGAAGAGGGGAGUGCUUUUGAUCAAAACAUAUUAGUUAAAGUAAGCACUCCCUCCCUUAGGAAGGGAAAAAUACCCGGCCAGGACCAUCU
Molecule: long non-coding RNA, 646 nt
Filed under: Linum usitatissimum (flax)
Lineage: Eukaryota; Viridiplantae; Streptophyta; Magnoliopsida; Malpighiales; Linaceae
Description: long non-coding RNA (LUSI_LNC006032)
Source: RNAcentral